UUAAGUGACGAUAGCCUAGGAGAUACACCUGUACCCAUGCCGAACACAGAAGUUAAGCCCUAGAACGCCGGAAGUAGUUGGGGGUUGCCCCCUGUGAGAUAUGGAAGUCGCUUAGU
This 116-nucleotide ribosomal RNA is filed under the name Streptococcus mitis. The record is from RNAcentral. Lineage: Bacteria; Bacillati; Bacillota; Bacilli; Lactobacillales; Streptococcaceae. RNAcentral also lists the same sequence under 1 other name.